AAUAUUGGACAAUGGGCGAAAGCCUGAUCCGGCCAUGCCGCGUGUGUGAAGAAGGUCUUCGGAUUGUAAAGCACUUUGAGUUGGGAGGAAGGGCAGUAAGUUAAUACCUUGCUGUUUUGACGUUACCGACAGAAUAAGCACCGGCUAACUUCGUGCCAGCAGCCGCGGUAAUACGAAGGGUGCAAGGUUUAAACGGAAUUACUGGGAGUAAAGCGCGCGUAGGUGGUUUGUUAAGGUUGAAGUGAAAGCCCCGGGCUCAACCUGGGAACUGCUUUCAUAACUGCUGAGCUAGAGUACGGUAGAGGGUAGUGGAAUUUCCUGUGUAGCGGUGAAAUGCGUAGAUAUAGGAAGGAACACCAGUGGCGAAGGCGACUACCUGGACUGAUACUGACACUGAGGUGCGAAAGCGUGGGGAGCAAAC
Molecule: ribosomal RNA, 421 nt
Filed under: uncultured bacterium
Lineage: Bacteria
Description: partial 16S ribosomal RNA
Rfam family: Bacterial small subunit ribosomal RNA
Source: RNAcentral